AGUCGACGAAUAAGUAGGUGCUUGCAUCUAUGGACUAGUGGCGGCACGGGUGAGUAACGCGUGGGAAUUUGCCCAGAAGUGGGGGACAGCCCGGAGAAAUCCGGAUUAAUACCGCAUACCUUCUACGGAAGAAAGGCUUCGGCCGCUUUUGGAUGAGCCCGCGUUAGAUCAGCUAGUUGGUGGGGUAAGAGCCUACCAAGGCAACGAUCUAUAGCUGGUCUGAGAGGAUGAUCAGCCACAUCGGGACUGAGACACGGCCCGGACUCCUACGGGAGGCAGCAGUGGGGAAUAUUGGACAAUGGACGCAAGUCUGAUCCAGCAAUGCCGCGUGUGUGAAGAAGGCCCGAGGGUUGUAAAGCACUUUCAAUUGUGAAGAAGAUUAUAAGUUUAAUACGCUUGUAGUUUGACGUUAACUUUAGAAGAAGCACCGGCUAACUCUGUGCCAGCAGCCGCGGUAAUACAGAGGGUGCGAGCGUUAAUCGGAAUUACUGGGCGUAAAGCGCGCGUAGGCGGCUUAUUAAGUCAGAUGUGAAAUCCCCGGGCUCAACCUGGGAACUGCAUCUGAUACUGGUAAGCUAGAGUUUUGGAGAGGGAAGUAGAAUUUCAGGUGUAGCGGUGAAAUGCAUAGAGAUCUGAAGGAAUACCAGUGGCGAAGGCGACUUCCUGGCCAAAAACUGACGCUGAGGUGCGAAAGCGUGGGUAGCAAACGGGAUUAGAUACCCCGGUAGUCCACGCCGUAAACGAUGUCAACUAGUCGUUGGACCCCUUGAGGGUUUAGUGACGCAGCUUACGCAUUAAGUUGACCGCCUGGGGAGUACGGUCGCAAGACUAAAACUCAAAGGAAUUGACGGGGGCCCGCACAAGCGGUGGAGCAUGUGGUUUAAUUCGAUGCAACGCG
Molecule: ribosomal RNA, 898 nt
Filed under: uncultured Gammaproteobacteria bacterium
Lineage: Bacteria; Pseudomonadati; Pseudomonadota; Gammaproteobacteria
Description: bacterial SSU rRNA
Rfam family: Bacterial small subunit ribosomal RNA
Source: RNAcentral